GGGUUUGAGGGUGAUCUGGCUGUGGCAUCUGUUACCCCAUUGAUUGCCAGGGUUUAUUUGGCUGGCUAGGCUUGUGUCCUCUUCCUCCCUUACCACUCCAUGUGUGCAUCCCUCCUGAAGCUGCAAGCUCCGUCAAAGAGGAUGAAGAGGAUGACCUUCCCCAAAUAGAGGAGGGUAGGUCUUCUGUCAAGGGUAUAUGAAUAGCUGCACUCCCCUGAUAAACCCUCCAAACAAUCUAAUUAUUUUUCUUAAGUGAGCUAAUUUUUUUUAUUUUGGUGGUUCUGGAGAUUGCAUUCAGGGCCCCACACAUGCUAGGCAAACCCUCUCCUA
Unclassified non-coding RNA from Cricetulus griseus (Chinese hamster), 330 nucleotides. Its record names the gene 7SK. It matches the Rfam family "7SK RNA". Rfam says of the family: 7SK was discovered as an abundant small nuclear RNA in the mid-70s but a possible function has only recently been suggested. Two independent studies have found that 7SK RNA binds the CDK9/cyclin T complex (known as elongation factor P-TEFb). NCBI's taxonomy places the organism in Eukaryota, Metazoa, Chordata, Mammalia, Rodentia, Cricetidae. The record is from Ensembl.